This is a non-coding RNA of Pelobates cultripes (western spadefoot toad), 234 nucleotides long. NCBI's taxonomy places the organism in Eukaryota, Metazoa, Chordata, Amphibia, Anura, Pelobatidae. The record is from the annotation of a GenBank genome assembly.
UCUGCUCUGGGUACUGUUUCAAGCAUUUUGCCAACCCUUGUGCCAACCCUGUUUACCAAGUGGGUGAGAGAGCUUGGUUAUCUUCUCGUAACAUCAGGCUCAAAGUCCCUAGCAUGAAAUUUGCUCCUAGCUUCCUUGGACCUUUUCGUGUCCUUCGUAGGAUCAAUCCUGUUGCGUACUCUCUGGCCCUUCCGGCCUCCUUGAAAAUUCCUAAUACCUUUCAUGUGUCCUUGC